Molecule: ribosomal RNA, 2918 nt
Filed under: Bacillus cereus
Lineage: Bacteria; Bacillati; Bacillota; Bacilli; Caryophanales; Bacillaceae
Description: bacterial LSU rRNA
Rfam family: Bacterial large subunit ribosomal RNA
Source: RNAcentral
UUAAGUUAGAAAGGGCGCACGGUGGAUGCCUUGACACUAGGAGUCGAUGAAGGACGGGACUAACGCCGAUAUGCUUCGGGGAGCUGUAAGUAAGCUUUGAUCCGAAGAUUUCCGAAUGGGGAAACCCACCAUACGUAAUGGUAUGGUAUCCUUAUCUGAAUACAUAGGGUAAGGAAGACAGACCCAGGGAACUGAAACAUCUAAGUACCUGGAGGAAGAGAAAGCAAAUGCGAUUUCCUGAGUAGCGGCGAGCGAAACGGAACAUAGCCCAAACCAAGAGGCUUGCCUCUUGGGGUUGUAGGACAUUCUAUACGGAGUUACAAAGGAACGAGGUAGACGAAGCGACCUGGAAAGGUCCGUCGUAGAGGGUAACAACCCCGUAGUCGAAACUUCGUUCUCUCUUGAAUGUAUCCUGAGUACGGCGGAACACGUGAAAUUCCGUCGGAAUCUGGGAGGACCAUCUCCCAAGGCUAAAUACUCCCUAGUGAUCGAUAGUGAACCAGUACCGUGAGGGAAAGGUGAAAAGCACCCCGGAAGGGGAGUGAAAGAGAUCCUGAAACCGUGUGCCUACAAAUAGUCAGAGCCCGUUAACGGGUGAUGGCGUGCCUUUUGUAGAAUGAACCGGCGAGUUACGAUCCCGUGCGAGGUUAAGCUGAAGAGGCGGAGCCGCAGCGAAAGCGAGUCUGAAUAGGGCGUUUAGUACGUGGUCGUAGACCCGAAACCAGGUGAUCUACCCAUGUCCAGGGUGAAGUUCAGGUAACACUGAAUGGAGGCCCGAACCCACGCACGUUGAAAAGUGCGGGGAUGAGGUGUGGGUAGCGGAGAAAUUCCAAUCGAACCUGGAGAUAGCUGGUUCUCCCCGAAAUAGCUUUAGGGCUAGCCUUAAGUGUAAGAGUCUUGGAGGUAGAGCACUGAUUGGACUAGGGGUCCUCAUCGGAUUACCGAAUUCAGUCAAACUCCGAAUGCCAAUGACUUAUCCUUAGGAGUCAGACUGCGAGUGAUAAGAUCCGUAGUCAAAAGGGAAACAGCCCAGACCGCCAGCUAAGGUCCCAAAGUGUGUAUUAAGUGGAAAAGGAUGUGGAGUUGCUUAGACAACUAGGAUGUUGGCUUAGAAGCAGCCACCAUUUAAAGAGUGCGUAAUAGCUCACUAGUCGAGUGACUCUGCGCCGAAAAUGUACCGGGGCUAAAUACACCACCGAAGCUGCGGAUUGAUACCAAUGGUAUCAGUGGUAGGGGAGCGUUCUAAGGACAGUGAAGUCAGACCGGAAGGACUGGUGGAGUGCUUAGAAGUGAGAAUGCCGGUAUGAGUAGCGAAAGACGGGUGAGAAUCCCGUCCACCGAAUGCCUAAGGUUUCCUGAGGAAGGCUCGUCCGCUCAGGGUUAGUCAGGACCUAAGCCGAGGCCGACAGGCGUAGGCGAUGGACAACAGGUUGAUAUUCCUGUACCACCUCUUUAUCGUUUGAGCAAUGGAGGGACGCAGAAGGAUAGAAGAAGCGUGCGAUUGGUUGUGCACGUCCAAGCAGUUAGGCUGAUAAGUAGGCAAAUCCGCUUAUCGUGAAGGCUGAGCUGUGAUGGGGAAGCUCCUUAUGGAGCGAAGUCUUUGAUUCCCCGCUGCCAAGAAAAGCUUCUAGCGAGAUAAAAGGUGCCUGUACCGCAAACCGACACAGGUAGGCGAGGAGAGAAUCCUAAGGUGUGCGAGAGAACUCUGGUUAAGGAACUCGGCAAAAUGACCCCGUAACUUCGGGAGAAGGGGUGCUUUCUUAACGGAAAGCCGCAGUGAAUAGGCCCAAGCGACUGUUUAGCAAAAACACAGCUCUCUGCGAAGCCGUAAGGCGAAGUAUAGGGGGUGACACCUGCCCGGUGCUGGAAGGUUAAGGAGAGGGGUUAGCGUAAGCGAAGCUCUGAACUGAAGCCCCAGUAAACGGCGGCCGUAACUAUAACGGUCCUAAGGUAGCGAAAUUCCUUGUCGGGUAAGUUCCGACCCGCACGAAAGGUGUAACGAUUUGGGCACUGUCUCAACCAGAGACUCGGUGAAAUUAUAGUACCUGUGAAGAUGCAGGUUACCCGCGACAGGACGGAAAGACCCCGUGGAGCUUUACUGUAGCCUGAUAUUGAAUUUUGGUACAGUUUGUACAGGAUAGGCGGGAGCCAUUGAAACCGGAGCGCUAGCUUCGGUGGAGGCGCUGGUGGGAUACCGCCCUGACUGUAUUGAAAUUCUAACCUACGGGUCUUAUCGACCCGGGAGACAGUGUCAGGUGGGCAGUUUGACUGGGGCGGUCGCCUCCUAAAGUGUAACGGAGGCGCCCAAAGGUUCCCUCAGAAUGGUUGGAAAUCAUUCGUAGAGUGCAAAGGCAUAAGGGAGCUUGACUGCGAGACCUACAAGUCGAGCAGGGACGAAAGUCGGGCUUAGUGAUCCGGUGGUUCCGCAUGGAAGGGCCAUCGCUCAACGGAUAAAAGCUACCCCGGGGAUAACAGGCUUAUCUCCCCAAGAGUCCACAUCGACGGGGAGGUUUGGCACCUCGAUGUCGGCUCAUCGCAUCCUGGGGCUGUAGUCGGUCCCAAGGGUUGGGCUGUUCGCCCAUUAAAGCGGUACGCGAGCUGGGUUCAGAACGUCGUGAGACAGUUCGGUCCCUAUCCGUCGUGGGCGUAGGAAAUUUGAGAGGAGCUGUCCUUAGUACGAGAGGACCGGGAUGGACGCACCGCUGGUGUACCAGUUGUUCUGCCAAGGGCAUAGCUGGGUAGCUAUGUGCGGAAGGGAUAAGUGCUGAAAGCAUCUAAGCAUGAAGCCCCCUCAAGAUGAGAUUUCCCAUAGCGUAAGCUAGUAAGAUCCCUGAAAGAUGAUCAGGUUGAUAGGUUCGAGGUGGAAGCAUGGUGACAUGUGGAGCUGACGAAUACUAAUAGAUCGAGGACUUAACCAU